RNAcentral lists this long non-coding RNA (1483 nucleotides) under Nicotiana tabacum (common tobacco). Its description in RNAcentral is "long non-coding RNA (NTAB_LNC010476)". Lineage: Eukaryota; Viridiplantae; Streptophyta; Magnoliopsida; Solanales; Solanaceae. The record is from RNAcentral.
NGGAAGUCUUUUCCAAAGCAGUCACAUUGAUCUCCAUUUCCAAGACAUACGUCUCAUAUGGAAUGAAUGAGCUGUAGCAUUUGAUAGCAUCCUCAAGAACCAAUUUCAACUUAGGUCGCAGUCCCAAAUGUGUGUUGCCGGACCGCUCAUCAACUUGCUUGAUUUUAGCUUUCCUAGAAGAGCCUUUGCAUUGCUUACGCUUCUUGGGAGGGGGAACAGUAGUGGAGGACUUCUCCCCACCCUUUUAUUUUCACGAACCAUCACAAGGCAUUGCAGCCUACAAACCAAUCACCUCAUAUGUGAGAAAUGAUCUGGAAAUUCUCUUAAGGUCAAAGUGAAAGUCUAAGGUGACCCCACACUUAGAACCAAAGGUCCUAUAAAAAAUAUUCACAUAUGUUAUGUAACAAAUCCACAAGUGUUUCUAAAUAGAUGCAAUAAGUACUUAAGACUUCUCCACACCGCUCUAACAUAUGUCCAUAUCACACACCUUAUCAAAGCAAUUAUACGAAUAGAUCAUAAUGGGUCCAUUUAGGAAUUCAAGAGUGAGAAGUGCUGCCUACAAUUACUAAGAAGUAAUAUUUUACACUAACCUAUCUUAAAAUAUGUCAUGCAAUACAACAUACAAGAUAUAUAAAAAAAAUUUGGUAGGGCGGUUAUGGCAUUCAUACCUAACAAUCAUCGGGCGAUAUCAAUCCACCCCAAAAUACCCCACACUUAUCCCGAAACACCAUACAUAAAUGCUCGACUAUUAAGACUUCACCAACAAAUAAUUUGUCACUCAGAAAUUCAUCAAACAUGUGGUGGGCAUCAAGUGUGGUCAUCACAAUUCAACUAUAAGGUAUCAAUUUACUCUCCCAAAUUUGAAUGUGGCAGUGGGAAUUGUAACACAACUACUACAUCAACUAAAUUUUCCAUAUUCGCAUUACCCACCAUAGCAAAUCAAGUGUUAACUAGGGGAAUUCGGGGUAGGGAACCUAACGUUAGGGCAAAACAAUGGGGGAAUGGGGAAGGGAGAGAAACACAAAAACAAGUAAAUGAAAAUAAAAAACAAAAUAAAAGAGGAAAGGAACAUACAUGGAGAGAGAGAACUAAGAAAUUGAGAGAGAGAGAGGGGAGAGAGAGUGGGAAAGAAGGGUUUAGGGUUAUUGUGUUCAAUUAAAUUGGAAAGAGUAAAGGGUGGUGGGAAUGGGUUAGCUUGUGAGUGGAAAUGGCUAUACGAGUCUGGUUCAAUGAGUUAAAAGAAAAAAAAUUAAAUAAUUUUUUUUUGAAAUACUUACUUCGGAACUAGAUUUGCGCAAUGCACUGCGCUAGGAAAUCGCUUAUGGACCCGGCAUUAGGGUAGUGUAAAGCAUUGGCCUGGACGCUAGGCCGCCCUCCUUUUUUUGUCAUUUUUUUUGGUUUUGUAAUAACUUACUGUUCCGCCCGAACAUUUUGUACAUCACUUGCAUGUUCCAAUGCCACUCCUACCGACCAUUUCUACGAU